CUUGGUCAUUUAGAGGAAGUAAAAGUCGUAACAAGGUCUCCGUUGGUGAACCAGCGGGGGGAUCAUUACUGAGUUUACGCUCUAUAACCCUUUGUGAACAUACCAAUAACUGUUGCUUCGGCGGGUAGGGUCUCCGCGACCCUCCCGGCCUCCCGCCUCCGGGCGGGUCGGCGCUCGCCGGAGGAUAACCAAACUCUGAUUUAACGACGUUUCUUCUGAGUGGUACAAGCAAAUAAUCAAAACUUUUAACAACGGAUCUCUUGGUUCUGGCAUCGAUGAAGAACGCAGCGAAAUGCGAUAAGUAAUGUGAAUUGCAGAACUCAGUGAAUCAUCGAAUCUUUGAACGCACAUUGCGCCCGCCAGCAUUCUGGCGGGCAUGCCUGUUCGAGCGUCAUUUCAACCCUCAAGCUCUGCUUGGUGUUGGGGCCCUACAGCUGAUGUAGGCCCUCAAAGGUAGUGGCGGACCCUCCCGGAGCCUCCUUUGCGUAGUAACUUUACGUCUCGCACUGGGAUCCGGAGGGACUCUUGCCGUAAAACCCCCCAAUUUUCCAAAGGUUGACCUCGGAUCAGGUAGGAAUACCCGCUGAACUUAAGCAUAUCAAUAAGCGGAGGA
RNAcentral lists this ribosomal RNA (613 nucleotides) under fungal endophyte sp. g5. Its description in RNAcentral is "eukaryotic LSU rRNA". The stretch from base 241 to 394 matches the Rfam family "5.8S ribosomal RNA". The record is from RNAcentral. Lineage: Eukaryota; Fungi.